UGAGGAAUAUUGGUCAAUGGACGAGAGUCUGAACCAGCCAAGUCGCGUGAAGGACGACGGCCCUAUGGGUUGUAAACUUCUUUUAAUUGAGAAUAAAGCUCGGGAUGUAUCCCGAUUUGCAAGUAUCAAAAGAAUAAGCAUCGGCUAACUCCGUGCCAGCAGCCGCGGUAAUACGGAGGAUGCGAGCGUUAUCCGGAUUUACUGGGUGUAAAGGGUGAGUAGGCGGCAUAGUAAGUCAUAUGUGAAAGCCCGCAGCUUAACUGCGGAGUUGCAUAAGAAACUAUUGAGCUAGAGUGCAGGAGAGGCAAGCGGAAUUCCUAGUGUAGCGGUGAAAUGCGUAGAUAUUAGGAAGAACACCAGUGGCGAAGGCGGCUUGCUGGACUGUAACUGACGCUGAGUCACGAAAGCGUGGGGAGCGAACA
RNAcentral lists this ribosomal RNA (422 nucleotides) under uncultured bacterium. RNAcentral describes it as "bacterial SSU rRNA". It matches the Rfam family "Bacterial small subunit ribosomal RNA", at positions 355 to 774 of the family's 1533-position model. The record is from RNAcentral.